This 448-nucleotide ribosomal RNA is filed under the name uncultured bacterium. Its description in RNAcentral is "bacterial SSU rRNA". It matches the Rfam family "Bacterial small subunit ribosomal RNA", at positions 29 to 524 of the family's 1533-position model. The record is from RNAcentral.
AACGAACGCUGGCGGCAGGCUUAACACAUGCAAGUCGAACGAUCCUUCGGGAUAGUGGCAGACGGGUGAGUAACGCGUGGGAACCUACCUUAUUCUACGGAAUAACACAGAGAAAUUUGUGCUAAUACCGUAUACGCCCUUUGGGGGAAAGAUUUAUCGGAGUAGGAUGGGCCCGCGUUGGAUUAGCUAGUUGGUGGGGUAAUGGCCUACCAAGGCGACGAUCUAUAGCUGGUCUGAGAGGAUGAUCAGCCACACUGGGACUGAGACACGGCCCAGACUCCUACGGGAGGCAGCAGUGGGGAAUAUUGGACAAUGGGCGCAAGCCUGAUCCAGCCAUGCCGCGUGAGUGAUGAAGGCCCUAGGGUUGUAAAGCUCUUUCAACGGUGAAGAUAAUGACGGUAACCGUAGAAGAAGCCCCGGCUAACUUCGUGCCAGCAGCCGCGGUAAU